GCAGUCGAGCGGACAGAAGGGAGCUUGCUCCCGGAUGUUAGCGGCGGACGGGUGAGUAACACGUGGGUAACCUGCCUGUAAGACUGGGAUAACUCCGGGAAACCGGAGCUAAUACCGGAUAGUUCCUUGAACCGCAUGGUUCAAGGAUGAAAGACGGUUUCGGCUGUCACUUACAGAUGGACCCGCGGCGCAUUAGCUAGUUGGUGGGGUAAUGGCUCACCAAGGCGACGAUGCGUAGCCGACCUGAGAGGGUGAUCGGCCACACUGGGACUGAGACACGGCCCAGACUCCUACGGGAGGCAGCAGUAGGGAAUCUUCCGCAAUGGACGAAAGUCUGACGGAGCAACGCCGCGUGAGUGAUGAAGGUUUUCGGAUCGUAAAGCUCUGUUGUUAGGGAAGAACAAGUGCGAGAGUAACUGCUCGCACCUUGACGGUACCUAACCAGAAAGCCACGGCUAACUACGUGCCAGCAGCCGCGGUAAUACGUAGGUGGCAAGCGUUGUCCGGAAUUAUUGGGCGUAAAGGGCUCGCAGGCGGUUUCUUAAGUCUGAUGUGAAAGCCCCCGGCUCAACCGGGGAGGGUCAUUGGAAACUGG
This 595-nucleotide ribosomal RNA is filed under the name bacterium 50-L049659-122-016-B07. RNAcentral describes it as "bacterial SSU rRNA". It matches the Rfam family "Bacterial small subunit ribosomal RNA", at positions 57 to 636 of the family's 1533-position model. The record is from RNAcentral.